Molecule: transfer RNA, 63 nt
Filed under: Embiophila sp.
Lineage: Eukaryota; Metazoa; Arthropoda; Insecta; Hemiptera; Plokiophilidae
Description: tRNA-Cys
Source: RNAcentral
GGCUUUAUAGUCAAUGUGAUGAUAUGAGAUUGCAAAUCUUGGGUAGUAUUUAUACUAAAGCUU